UAGAAGUUUCUUUUGCCCGA
This 20-nucleotide non-coding RNA is filed under the name Arabidopsis thaliana (thale cress). Lineage: Eukaryota; Viridiplantae; Streptophyta; Magnoliopsida; Brassicales; Brassicaceae. The record is from RNAcentral.